GAGCUCCUCCUUGGAUUCGCGGGAAUACCGCAACUCUGUAACUUAGAUUAAACAAAUGCCGCUCCGAUUGUUCGAGAUUUGUGAUCAUGAGCUUGGGCUCGAGGCGACAAUCAGUCGCCGAACGUAGCCGCGGUCAAAGGGAUGAACGUUUUAUCUAACAAAGGCACAGAGUAACUCUAUACCUCUCCUUAAAAGAAAUAGUCGUAGCGACACGUGGCAGUAAAUACUUCAAUAGUUUCUAUCCCGCGGCCCGCCACACGCAGAUUUUGUCCUCC
RNAcentral lists this unclassified non-coding RNA (275 nucleotides) under Bombus terrestris (buff-tailed bumblebee). RNAcentral's name for it is "misc RNA ENSBTSG00005021976.1". Lineage: Eukaryota; Metazoa; Arthropoda; Insecta; Hymenoptera; Apidae. The record is from RNAcentral.